AAGUCUGACCUGCCCACUGAAAUUWUUUAAAUGGCCGCAGUAUUCUAACUGUGCAAAGGUAGCAUAAUCAUUAGUCUUUUAAUUGAAGGCUGGUAUGAACGGUUGGACGAGGUAUAGGCUGUUUCAUAUAAAUUUAUAAUAGAAUUUUAUAUUUUAGUUAAAAAGCUAAGAUUUAAUUAAAAGACGAGAAGACCCUAUAAAUCUUUAUACUUUGGGUUGUUUAAAUUUUUUAGAUAARUUUUAUUUUUAUAACGUGAAGUAUUUUGUUGGGGUGAUAUUAAAAUUUAAUGAACUUUUAUUUGUUUAAAAUCAUUAAUUUAUGAGUUAUUGAUCCAUUAGUAGUGAUUAUAAGAUUAAGUUACUUUAGGGAUAACAGCGUAAUUUUUUUGGAGAGUUCAUAUCGAUAAAAAAGUUUGCGACCUCGAUGUUGGAUUAAGAUAUAUUUUUAGGUGUAGCCGCUUAAAU
RNAcentral lists this ribosomal RNA (465 nucleotides) under Bactrocera calophylli. RNAcentral describes it as "partial large subunit ribosomal RNA". The record is from RNAcentral. Lineage: Eukaryota; Metazoa; Arthropoda; Insecta; Diptera; Tephritidae.